UAGCUCCAGUAAAGACAAAGUGGAAUCUGUUCAUGGACGUUCAUCGUUCUCUUACAUUGCUUUAUUGGGUGUUAUUUUGAUUUUUUUCAUUUGAAGGCACCAAUGGUGCAUUGAUGUCCAAAGAGACCCAAAAUCUGAUCCACAAGCUCAAUCUCGAUGGCCCUUAUUUGGGUGUAGUCAUUCCAAAUCUCUUUGAGCAAAACCCUCUUCUUAAUUCUGCUGACUACACUGCUACUGAUGUUAUCAUUGACAUUUCUGGAAGGAGAUUUCGUUUCGGAAGUAUUGGUGACCAAAAAGUAAUUUCAGUCAUGACAGGAUUGGGCAUGAUUAAUGCAGGAAUAACUACUCAACUUUUGUUGAGCUUCUUCAAAGUGGAAGGAGUUGUGCACUAUGGGAUAGCUGGGAACGCAAACCCUUCUCUCAACAUAGGUGAUGUGGCUAUUCCUUCACGAUCCAAAGGUUUGGGAGAUGAGUGUGAAGACAUGAUCGAGAAGGUAGGGAUGAUCGUUGUAAGAUUAGACGAAUGGGUAUCUAUAGGGUUUUUUCCCUCAGAGCUUUUUUCUGGAAGGUUUAGAAUAAAGUUUGAAAAUUUGAAUGAGAAUUAUUUUGAAAUAGAACUAUUUAAAUGAGAAGUAAAAUUAUGAAUCGACUGUUUCACUCGGUAAUUGUGUUUGCAUUAAGUUUUAAAUGUAGCUUGUCAGGAGAUCGAAUGAUCGUGUACCUACAAAUCGCCUCGAUCUGUGGAGAAUGACGGCUUUAGGCUAAAUUUUUGGCGUUGAAGAGGCGGCCCAAGAUUCGAGUAAUUUAGCAUGCCUCGUCCAUUCGAAGCUCGGGCCAGGGGGCAUCUGUUGGGCCUAAAAUAUUCGGCCCAAAGUCCUUUCCUCAUUUACCGAACAUUCAAAACGGAUCGUUUUGACCUGCAGAACCUCCGAAGGCAGAAGCCACGGGUCAGAGGCGCGCUGCGCCUCUAACCUCCGAAUACAUAAUUUAAAAUCAGCAUGUUUUGGAGGGAAAUUCGGUUAUCUUUUCGCCACCAAUCCAGGGUAACCCCGACGAGUCAAAGGCGAUCUUCAUCACCGGAAUAGUGACAAAGCAUCAUCUACCGUUGGAUCAUACCUCCAGAUAUAGAAAGACAAAUUGUUGCUUCAACACAUACCACCCAAAUAAGAAAUCAAGAGCUCUAGAGGCCGCCCUUUGAUCAGCUGUUGUUUUGUGUUUUGGUUCGAAACAAUGAGUAACUAUAGUAAUCCCUAUUUUCCCCUUU
This is an RNA transcript of Humulus lupulus (European hop), 1264 nucleotides long. RefSeq lists it as uncharacterized. The record is from RefSeq and is a predicted model, not a curated record. The transcript is spliced from 4 exons. Lineage: Eukaryota; Viridiplantae; Streptophyta; Magnoliopsida; Rosales; Cannabaceae.